GGGAACAGGCACAGGGAGAGGGCACUGGCUGAGAGACACAUGGGACACCUCGGGGACAUCCUGUCCAAGUACGAGGAGGAGCGGAGCUCAGCCCUGGCCUUCGCCCUGAGCACGUUCAUGGCCCACGCCGGGAUCCGGGGCCGGGAGUGGCGCAGCCGUGAGAGCGAGAAAAUCCCCGAGAGGGACAAGUGGCUGCCCUUCUU
Malurus melanocephalus (red-backed fairy wren) is the source of this 203-nucleotide long non-coding RNA. RefSeq lists it as uncharacterized. NCBI's taxonomy places the organism in Eukaryota, Metazoa, Chordata, Aves, Passeriformes, Maluridae. The record is from RefSeq and is a predicted model, not a curated record. The transcript has 3 exons.